This 511-nucleotide ribosomal RNA is filed under the name uncultured bacterium. RNAcentral's name for it is "bacterial SSU rRNA". It matches the Rfam family "Bacterial small subunit ribosomal RNA", at positions 1 to 523 of the family's 1533-position model. The record is from RNAcentral.
CCACAGCUAGAGUUUGAUCCUGGCUCAGGACGAACGCUGGCGGCGUGCCUAACACAUGCAAGUCGAACGAGGGUUUGGAAAGCUUGCUUUCGAAACCUAGUGGCGGACGGGUGAGUAACGCGUGAGUAACCUGCCUUUCAGAGGGGAAUAACGUUCUGAAAAGAACGCUAAUACCGCAUAACGUACAGUUACCGCAUGGUAGCAGUACCAAAGGAGCAAUCCGCUGAAAGAUGGACUCGCGUCCGAUUAGCUAGUUGGUGGGGUAAAGGCCUACCAAGGCGACGAUCGGUAGCCGGACUGAGAGGUUGAACGGCCACAUUGGGACUGAGACACGGCCCAGACUCCUACGGGAGGCAGCAGUGGGGGAUAUUGCACAAUGGGGGAAACCCUGAUGCAGCAACGCCGCGUGUGGGAAGAAGGUUUUCGGAUUGUAAACCACUGUUCUUGGUGAAGAUAAUGACGGUAACCAAGGAGAAAGCUCCGGCUAACUACGUGCCAGCAGCCGCGGUAA